GGACAUGAAGGAAGGAGUUAGUAUUGACUUCAACUGAAGAUGGCACGAAUUAGGUAACUAAAUCACCACUUCAAAGGAGGUUUUCAAAAUUUGAAGUGUAAGGAACAAUAAUUGAUUUCUUUGGGAGUUUAAAGGGGAGGGGAAAAUAGGGCUUCAAAAUUUGUUUUUUUUUUUUAAAUAUAGAAAAAUCUUUAACAUUUUUUUUUGUAUGGAAUGAUAAAACAUUACUUAUCAUUUUUUUUUUAUUUUAGGAAUAUUAUAACAACAUAAAUUAUAUUUGAACAAUUUGUUUAAUCUCUUCAAAACUCUCCAAACCACUCCUCCAAUAUAAUGUUAUAGUUUCCCAAAGUUACAAAGAUUCUUGUUUGUGAUUAAAAAUAAAUCCCCAAAAAUCUCCAUCUAAAUCAUUCUAUUAUUUUCAACUUUAUUUUUGUAAAAUAUUUUAUUUUGAAAAUCGAUUUUAAAUCUCACACAAAAUUCGAAGUAAAUAGUUUGAGUGAAAAACAAAAGAAAUAAGGGAAGAGAGACACAAGCCCUUUCUAAACAAAGGUUUAGAUGUUUGAGGCCUUGCUUUAAUCACCUAAACUAAUCCUUAUCAUAUUUUUAU
Molecule: long non-coding RNA, 607 nt
Filed under: Lathyrus oleraceus (garden pea)
Lineage: Eukaryota; Viridiplantae; Streptophyta; Magnoliopsida; Fabales; Fabaceae
Description: Pisum sativum (pea) long non-coding RNA (PSAT_LNC020625)
Source: RNAcentral